Long non-coding RNA from Panicum hallii, 609 nucleotides. RefSeq lists it as uncharacterized. Lineage: Eukaryota; Viridiplantae; Streptophyta; Magnoliopsida; Poales; Poaceae. The transcript has 2 exons. The record is from RefSeq and is a predicted model, not a curated record.
AACUCAUUUCUCAAAAAUUAUCCUCGGUCUCUACCUGAGCUGUGAUAUCUUAGUACUUCACUCAUGUUCAUUGCCAUAGGAGCACACAAGAUUUCUUGACAAAAUCCAGUAACUAUUCUUGGUCCUAGGGAAGCAUCUAGAUGGAGCAGUUUUAAUGAUCAAAGAUGGUAAACUUCUAUUUCCUAAUUUCUGCUUCUUGUUUCUUUUAUAGUAUUUAGCCUAAAUUUUGUGUAGCCCUAAUCCUACAUUCACUCUCCUUGCUUUUGAUCAAUAACACAAGCAGCCGCUGCUACUAACUACUACUCUGCAGAGUCAGAGAACUACCCAGAUAUUUGGAGUUCACAUUGAUCUUCAGCUGGCAACCCAGACAUACCAUAUGUUCUGGUUUCCAGUCAUUGAUUCCGAUUGCAGUGAGGAGCUUUUGGCUGCUACAGGAAGGUUUUGAAGCAACUUUUACAGACUUUGAAGCCAACUGAAAUGUUUAUGAUGUUCUUUCUGAGUUCCAACAAUCUCGUGCUCCUAGCAAUGUUGAUUACCAAACUGUUGAGCAUGUGAAAUGUUUGAGGAUGUUAUGGAUCUAGUAAUUAGCUGUUAGAUUUGUUCCCACGA